Molecule: ribosomal RNA, 1372 nt
Filed under: uncultured bacterium
Lineage: Bacteria
Description: bacterial SSU rRNA
Rfam family: Bacterial small subunit ribosomal RNA
Source: RNAcentral
GAUGGACGCUGGCGGCGUGCCUAAUACAUGCAAGUCGAGCGAACGGACGAGAAGCUUGCUUCUCUGAUGUUAGCGGCGGACGGGUGAGUAACACGUGGAUAACCUACCUAUAAGACUGGGAUAACUUCAGGAAACCGGAGCUAAUACCGGAUAAUAUUUUGAACCGCAUGGUUCAAAAGUGAAAGACGGUCUUGCUGUCACUUAUAGAUGGAUCCGCGCUGCAUUAGCUAGUUGGUAAGGUAACGGCUUACCAAGGCAACGAUGCAUAGCCGACCUGAGAGGGUGAUCGGCCACACUGGAACUGAGACACGGUCCAGACUCCUACGGGAGGCAGCAGUAGGGAAUCUUCCGCAAUGGGCGAAAGCCUGACGGAGCAACGCCGCGUGAGUGAUGAAGGUCUUCGGAUCGUAAAACUCUGUUAUUAGGGAAGAACAUAUGUGUAAGUAACUGUGCACAUCUUGACGGUACCUAAUCAGAAAGCCACGGCUAACUACGUGCCAGCAGCCGCGGUAAUACGUAGGUGGCAAGCGUUAUCCGGAAUUAUUGGGCGUAAAGCGCGCGUAGGCGGUUUUUUAAGUCUGAUGUGAAAGCCCACGGCUCAACCGUGGAGGGUCAUUGGAAACUGGAAAACUUGAGUGCAGAAGAGGAAAGUGGAAUUCCAUGUGUAGCGGUGAAAUGCGCAGAGAUAUGGAGGAACACCAGUGGCGAAGGCGACUUUCUGGUCUGUAACUGACGCUGAUGUGCGAAAGCGUGGGGAUCAAACAGGAUUAGAUACCCUGGUAGUCCACGCCGUAAACGAUGAGUGCUAAGUGUUAGGGGGUUUCCGCCCCUUAGUGCUGCAGCUAACGCAUUAAGCACUCCGCCUGGGGAGUACGACCGCAAGGUUGAAACUCAAAGGAAUUGACGGGGACCCGCACAAGCGGUGGAGCAUGUGGUUUAAUUCGAAGCAACGCGAAGAACCUUACCAAAUCUUGACAUCCUUUGACAACUCUAGAGAUAGAGCCUUCCCCUUCGGGGGACAAAGUGACAGGUGGUGCAUGGUUGUCGUCAGCUCGUGUCGUGAGAUGUUGGGUUAAGUCCCGCAACGAGCGCAACCCUUAAGCUUAGUUGCCAUCAUUAAGUUGGGCACUCUAAGUUGACUGCCGGUGACAAACCGGAGGAAGGUGGGGAUGACGUCAAAUCAUCAUGCCCCUUAUGAUUUGGGCUACACACGUGCUACAAUGGACAAUACAAAGGGCAGCGAGACCGCGAGGUCAAGCAAAUCCCAUAAAGUUGUUCUCAGUUCGGAUUGUAGUCUGCAACUCGACUACAUGAAGCUGGAAUCGCUAGUAAUCGUAGAUCAGCAUGCUACGGUGAAUACGUUCCCGGGUCU